ACUAGAGGCUCUCAAGAGCCUGUGUCGCUCACCUGUAUUUACUGAUGCUUUGGAAAUCAUGUAAAAUAAGGUUAAAAUCAUAAUUAAUAGUAUUAGAUAUUAGAUAUUAUAAUGAUAUCUAAGAUAAUAACAAACUAGAGGCUCUCAAGAGCCUGUGUCGCUCACCUGUAUUUACUGAUGCUUUGGAAAUCAUGUAGAAUAAGGUUAAAAUCAUAAUUAAUAGUACAUGUAUUAGAUAUUAGAUAUUAUAAUGAUAUCUAAGAUAAUAACAAAAAACUGCAAAAUUUUUGUAAAAUUACUAACUCAGGGGCAGCAACCCAACAACGGGUUGUCAGAUUUGUCUGAAAAUUUCAGGGCAGAUAGAUCUUAACCUGAUAAUCAGUUUUACCCUGUGUCAGAUUUACUCUAAAUGCUUUGGCUUCAGAGAUAUAAGCCAAAAUCUACAUUUUACCCCUAUGUUCAAUUUUUAGCCAUGGUGGCCAUCUUGGUUGGUUGGCAGGGUCAUCGGACACAUUUUUUAAACUAGAUACCCUAAUGAUGAUUGUGGCCAAGUUUGGUUAAAUUUGGCCAGUGGUUUCAGAGGAGAAGAUUUUUGUAAAAAGCUAACGAC
Long non-coding RNA from Mytilus californianus (California mussel), 610 nucleotides. RefSeq lists it as uncharacterized. The record is from RefSeq and is a predicted model, not a curated record. Lineage: Eukaryota; Metazoa; Mollusca; Bivalvia; Mytilida; Mytilidae. The transcript has 3 exons.